RNAcentral lists this transfer RNA (76 nucleotides) under Fucus vesiculosus. RNAcentral's name for it is "transfer RNA-Trp(cca)". It matches the Rfam family "tRNA". Rfam says of the family: Transfer RNA (tRNA) molecules are approximately 80 nucleotides in length. Their secondary structure includes four short double-helical elements and three loops (D, anti-codon, and T loops). The record is from RNAcentral. Lineage: Eukaryota; Phaeophyceae; Fucales; Fucaceae.
GCGUCUUUAGUUCAGUUGGUAGAACAUAGGUCUCCAAAACCUAGUGUCGAGGGUUCAAGUCCUUCAAGACGCGUCC